CAAUAGCGUAUAUUAAAGUUGUUGCAGUUAAAAAGCUCGUAGUUGGAUUUCUGGUUGAAGCGACCGGUCGGGCGUUGAUUCGUCUGCACUGGAGUCGGUUUUGGCCAUCCUCUAGGAAAGUGCGUCUGGUAUUAAGUUAUCGGGCGUAUGAUCCUGGUCUUUUACUGUGAAGAAAUUAGAGUGUUUAAAGCAGGCCUUCGCCUUGAAUACAUUAGCAUGGAAUAAUAAGAUAGGACUUUGGUCUAUUUUGUUGGUUUGCAGACCGAAGUAAUGAUUAAUAGGGAUAGUUGGGGGUAUUUAUAUUCCGAUGUCAGAGGUGAAAUUCUUAGAUUUUCGGAAGAUAAACUUAUGCGAAANCANNNACCAAGGAUGUUUUCAUNAA
This 382-nucleotide ribosomal RNA is filed under the name uncultured eukaryote. RNAcentral's name for it is "partial 18S ribosomal RNA". It matches the Rfam family "Eukaryotic small subunit ribosomal RNA", at positions 592 to 976 of the family's 1831-position model. The record is from RNAcentral.